GAUCCUGGCUCAGGAUGAACGCUGGCGGCGUGCCUAAUACAUGCAAGUCGAGCGAACGGACGAGAAGCUUGCUUCUCUGAUGUUAGCGGCGGACGGGUGAGUAACACGUGGAUAACCUACCUAUAAGACUGGGAUAACUUCGGGAAACCGGAGCUAAUACCGGAUAAUAUUUUGAACCGCAUGGUUCAAAAGUGAAAGACGGUCUUGCUGUCACUUAUAGAUGGAUCCGCGCUGCAUUAGCUAGUUGGUAAGGUAACGGCUUACCAAGGCAACGAUGCAUAGCCGACCUGAGAGGGUGAUCGGCCACACUGGAACUGAGACACGGUCCAGACUCCUACGGGAGGCAGCAGUAGGGAAUCUUCCGCAAUGGGCGAAAGCCUGACGGAGCAACGCCGCGUGAGUGAUGAAGGUCUUCGGAUCGUAAAACUCUGU
Molecule: ribosomal RNA, 432 nt
Filed under: Staphylococcus aureus
Lineage: Bacteria; Bacillati; Bacillota; Bacilli; Caryophanales; Staphylococcaceae
Description: bacterial SSU rRNA
Rfam family: Bacterial small subunit ribosomal RNA
Source: RNAcentral